RNAcentral lists this ribosomal RNA (400 nucleotides) under uncultured prokaryote. RNAcentral's name for it is "partial 16S ribosomal RNA". The record is from RNAcentral.
CCCUAUGGGGCGCAGGAGCUCCGGCAGGAAAGUCAGGAGCACGGUUCCGGCCAAUCCCCCCCAUAGGCUUCCCAUGCCGCCCACCACCACCAUCGUCACCAGUUGGACGGAAUAAAAAAUGUCAAAGGUCUUUGGGCUGAUGAAGGUCAUGUAAUGCGCGUAACAGAAGCCGGCAAGGCCCGCAUAGACGGCGCCCAGGACGACGGCGACGACCUUGUACCUGAAUGAGGGAAUGCCCAGGGCCUGUGCAGUGAGGUCUUUUUCGUGGAUCGCCUUGAAAGCCCGCCCCAGGCGUGAAUCGUUCAGAUUCAGUGUCAGGGAGAGUGCGACCACGAAAACAGUCCAGAUGAAAUAAUAAAACCGGCGAUCGGUGUUCAGAGCGAAAGAGCCGAGGGAGAGC